This 253-nucleotide ribosomal RNA is filed under the name uncultured bacterium. Its description in RNAcentral is "partial 16S ribosomal RNA". It matches the Rfam family "Bacterial small subunit ribosomal RNA", at positions 524 to 776 of the family's 1533-position model. The record is from RNAcentral.
UACGUAGGGUGCGAGCGUUAAUCGGAAUUACUGGGCGUAAAGCGUGAGCAGGCGGCUUUGCAAGACAGAUGUGAAAUCCCCGGGCUCAACCUGGGAACUGCAUUUGUGACUGCAAGGCUAGAGUACGGCAGAGGGGGAUGGAAUUCCGCGUGUAGCAGUGAAAUGCGUAGAUAUGCGGAGGAACACCAAUGGCGAAGGCAAUCCCCUGGGCCUGUACUGACGCUCAUGCACGAAAGCGUGGGGAGCAAACAGG